Hydra vulgaris (swiftwater hydra) is the source of this 1621-nucleotide non-coding RNA. NCBI's taxonomy places the organism in Eukaryota, Metazoa, Cnidaria, Hydrozoa, Anthoathecata, Hydridae. The record is from RefSeq and is a predicted model, not a curated record.
UUUAAAUUAAUAAAAAAUUAAUAAUUAAUAAUUUAUUGUUUACUACUUUAACUUUGUAGCAAUAUUCCAAGUGUUAGUUUGUUGUUUGUAAUUAGAUUUUUUUUAUAUUUUCAUUGUUAAUUUUCUGUUUAAGUUUUUAUUUUGUCAUUUAUGAUGGUAGAGUUGAAAAAAGUAAACAAGAAAUAACAAGGCAGAAUUUACACUAUUUCUUAUUGGAAACAAGAUGGAACUGAUAUUAAACUGUCAAAAGAUUAAAAACUCCAGCUAGUUGCUGUUGUUAUAUCGGGGAAGUUUAAAUUUUCUUAAUUGGAAUAUGAAGUUAAUGUAAAAAUGCUCACAGUAUAACAAGUUUUGUAACCAGCAAAAUAACUGCCACAGGUUUUAUGGCUUGCAAAUAGAUUUUGCAAGUUUUGUGGCUUGAAAACAAGUACAACAAGUUUUUUGACUAGUAAAUAAGUACCACAAGUUUUGUUGCUUGCAAAUAAGGUACAGCAAGUUUUGUAGCUUACAAAUAGGUAUUGGAAGUUUUGUGGCUUGCAAAUAGGUACGGCAAAUUUUAUGACUUGCAAAAUAAGUGUCGCAAGUUUUGUUGCUUGCAAAUAAGGUACAGUAAGUUUUGUGGCUUGCAAGUAGGUACCGCAAAUUUUGCGGCUUGCAAAUUGAUAGUUGGCUCUGGGUUACCUUUAUGUGGUGUCUAUUGUUAAAAGUUAUUCAUUUGGUUUCGUUAAUGUAAUUUAAAAAUUAAAUUAUUUACUAGAAGCUUAGACAAGAAAUAAUAACAUUUUUUAUUUCAAAAAAUUUGUUCUUUUUUUGUGUUUUUUUCUCAGGUUGGAGUGCUUAAUCUGUUCCUUUACAUGAUAAUGUAUAGUCAGAUGCAUCUUGUAAUGCGGUAAAAUAGUUUUUUAUUCGAAUUUCUUUUUCUUUAAAAAAACAUUUAAAGACUUCUUUGUUAAAUUGUAAUUAAAAUUUUUUAAUUUGGUUCCGACAGAGGAGGGGGAUAGCUUGCUCCUCUUUUUAUAAAGACAAAUUAUACACCUCUAGGUGUAUAAAUUGCCUUAUUGAAAGGGGGUGCAUAAAGGCAAUUUAUACAUACUAUACUACCUUUUUUUAUUUCAAAAGGCUUGUUGUUUUUGUGUAUUUUUUUUUAGGUUGGAGUGUGUAAUCCGUCUUUUUUCAUGACAAAAUGGUUACUCUGAUGCAUUUUCAAUUGCAAGUUUCCAAAUACAUGCAAAGUAAAGUAAAGAAAGCAAUACUUUUCAACUGUUGGUUACAUGGCACAUGUAUUAAAGCCUUCUGUCACAGUUGACUCAGCAAGAAUGAAGACAUUGAUACACUUUUGCAUUUAGGAAUACACAAGUGGGAAUACACAAGUGGGAAUACACAAGUGUUCCUCGCCCACUGCCACCCAAAUACAGGUAUAAGAAAUCCUUAUCUCUACGUAACAGACGAUGGAGACGAAGUGAUUAUUAUGUGUGGCAAAAGAUUAUUUUAUGAAGUUUUUCAUUUUCUGACUUCGUGAUGGAACUUAUUGGAGUACACUUUUUUUGGACAUAGGAGGAGUAUUGCCGCUACAAGCAUAAACAAUAAUAAAACAUUCCAAAGAAUAAUUUAUUAUUUCAAC